GUUAAAGCUUUGAAGAGAAAUAGUAAGAUUAAUAGAGUUUUUAAGAGAGUUGCUGGUUGGUGAGAAUCACAAAAUGAAUUAAUCUGAAUACAUCUCUGAGCAGUAUCUCCCAAAGAUAACAACCAGUAGGCAGAUAUCGUAUCGCACACGUUAUAGUGCUAGAGUAUAACCCAAAACUUUAUUUGGAGUACUUGAAGAGGUUAUUAUUGUGAGAUAAUAAUAAAUUAAGGUGGUAACACGUAAGUAAUGCUUUCGUCCUUUUA
Molecule: non-coding RNA, 263 nt
Filed under: Clostridium bornimense
Lineage: Bacteria; Bacillati; Bacillota; Clostridia; Eubacteriales; Clostridiaceae
Description: T-box sequence
Rfam family: T-box leader
About the family: Uncharged tRNA acts as the effector for transcription antitermination of genes in the T-box leader family. T-boxes are found upstream of many aminoacyl-tRNA synthetase genes and some amino acid biosynthetic genes usually in Gram-positive bacteria. The anticodon of a specific tRNA base pairs to a specifier sequence within the T-box motif, and the NCCA acceptor tail of the tRNA base pairs to a conserved bulge in the T-box antiterminator hairpin.
Source: RNAcentral